GAUGAAGAACGUAGUGAAAUGCGAUAAGUAAUGUGAAUUGCAGAAUUCAGUGAAUCAUCGAAUCUUUGAACGCAUCUUGCGCUCCUUGGUAUUCUGAGGAGCAUGCCUGUUUGAGUGUCAUUAAAUUCUCAACUACACUGACUUUGAAUUGGUGUGGCUUGGAUUUGGGGGGAAAAUUGUUGUGGGCUUUUUGUAUAGUCUGCUCCCCUGAAAUUGAUUAGCGGUACCUUUGUGGAACUGUCUACAGGUGUGAUAAUUAUCUACAUCUUAGACAUCUGCUGGAAUGCUGCUUUCUAAACCUUACUUGUAUUGACAAUCUUGACCUCAAAUCAGGUAGGACCACCCGCUGAACUUAAGCAUAUCAAUAAGCGGAGGA
This 376-nucleotide unclassified non-coding RNA is filed under the name soil metagenome. Its description in RNAcentral is "partial contains 5.8S ribosomal RNA, internal transcribed spacer 2, and large subunit ribosomal RNA". The stretch from base 1 to 120 matches the Rfam family "5.8S ribosomal RNA", at positions 35 to 154 of the family's 154-position model. The record is from RNAcentral.